ACGCUAGCUACGGGCUUAACACAUGCAAGUCGAGGGGCAGCAUGGUCUUAGCUUGCUAAGGCCGAUGGCGACCGGCGCACGGGUGAGUAACACGUAUCCAACCUGCCGUCUACUCUUGGACAGCCUUCUGAAAGGAAGAUUAAUACAAGAUGGCAUCAUGAGUCCGCAUGUUCACAUGAUUAAAGGUAUUCCGGUAGACGAUGGGGAUGCGUUCCAUUAGAUAGUAGGCGGGGUAACGGCCCACCUAGUCUUCGAUGGAUAGGGGUUCUGAGAGGAAGGUCCCCCACAUUGGAACUGAGACACGGUCCAAACUCCUACGGGAGGCAGCAGUGAGGAAUAUUGGUCAAUGGGCGAGAGCCUGAACCAGCCAAGUAGCGUGAAGGAUGACUGCCCUAUGGGUUGUAAACUUCUUUUAUAAAGGAAUAAAGUCGGGUAUGGAUACCCGUUUGCAUGUACUUUAUGAAUAAGGAUCGGCUAACUCCGUGCCAGCAGCCGCGGUAAUACGGAGGAUCCGAGCGUUAUCCGGAUUUAUUGGGUUUAAAGGGAGCGUAGAUGGAUGUUUAAGUCAGUUGUGAAAGUUUGCGGCUCAACCGUAAAAUUGCAGUUGAUACUGGAUAUCUUGAGUGCAGUUGAGGCAGGCGGGAUUCGUGGUGUAGCGGUGAAAUGCUUAGAUAUCACGAAGAACUCCGAUUGCGAAGGCAGCCUGCUAAGCUGCAACUGACAUUGAGGCUCGAAAGUGUGGGUAUCAAACAGGAUUAGAUACCCUGGUAGUCCACACGGUAAACGAUGAAUACUCGCUGUUUGCGAUAUACGGCAAGCGGCCAAGCGAAAGCGUUAAGUAUUCCACCUGGGGAGUACGCCGGCAACGGUGAAACUCAAAGGAAUUGACGGGGGCCCGCACAAGCGGAGGAACAUGUGGUUUAAUUCGAUGAUACGCGAGGAACCUUACCCGGGCUUAAAUUGCAGAUGAAUUACGGUGAAAGCCGUAAGCCGCAAGGCAUCUGUGAAGGUGCUGCAUGGUUGUCGUCAGCUCGUGCCGUGAGGUGUCGGCUUAAGUGCCAUAACGAGCGCAACCCUUGUUGUCAGUUACUAACAGGUUCCGCUGAGGACUCUGACAAGACUGCCAUCGUAAGAUGUGAGGAAGGUGGGGAUGACGUCAAAUCAGCACGGCCCUUACGUCCGGGGCUACACACGUGUUACAAUGGGGGGUACAGAGGGCCGCUACCACGCGAGUGGAUGCCAAUCCCCAAAACCUCUCUCAGUUCGGACUGGAGUCUGCAACCCGACUCCACGAAGCUGGAUUCGCUAGUAAUCGCGCAUCAGCCACGGCGCGGUGAAUACGUUCCCGGGCCUUGUACACACCGCCCGUCAAGCCAUGGGAGCCGGGGGUACCUGAAGUGCGUAACCGCGAGGAGCGCCCUAGGGUAAAACUGGUGACUGGGGCUAAG
RNAcentral lists this ribosomal RNA (1448 nucleotides) under uncultured organism. RNAcentral's name for it is "SSU rRNA". It matches the Rfam family "Bacterial small subunit ribosomal RNA". The record is from RNAcentral.